Molecule: ribosomal RNA, 405 nt
Filed under: uncultured bacterium
Lineage: Bacteria
Description: partial 16S ribosomal RNA
Rfam family: Bacterial small subunit ribosomal RNA
Source: RNAcentral
AUUGAACGCUGGCGGCAGGCCUAACACAUGCAAGUCGAACGAGUGGCGGACGGGUGAGUAAUGUCUGGGAAACUGCCUGAUGGAGGGGGAAAAUACUGGAAAACGUAGCUAAUACCCCAAAACAACAGAUGUUGCCAGAUGGGAUUAGCUUGUUGGUGGGGUAACGGCUCACCAAGGCGACGAUCCCUAGCUGGUCUGAGAGGAUGACCAGCCACACUGGAACUGAGACACGGUCCAGACUCCUACGGGAGGCAGCAGUGGGGAAUAUUGCACAAUGGGCGCAAGCCUGAUGCAGCCAUGCCGCGUGUAUGAAGAAGGCCUUCGGGUUGUAAAGUACUUUCAGCGGGGAGGCGUUACCCGCAGAAGAAGCACCGGCUAACUCCGUGCCAGCAGCCGCGGUAAUUC